CUUUGGCAUCUUGCACAUCCCCUCAGGGUUGACCCUGCCUCCUCCGGACGUCCCAUGCUAAGCCUUCAAUCCCUCUGGAAUGAUGGGACAGGGGAGGGGAGAGUGGGGCAGAUCCUGAUCUACAGUGAGCACAGAGGUGUGCCAGGGGGGCAUCUAAGUGGAGAAGGGACACCAGAGUCCACUUCCCAGACCCCCCGCCCCACGCUGACUCUGACCCACUUUCUCCGCCUUCCCUGGGGGCUCAGAGGCAGAGCCCAAGGCUGGGAGGCGGGACGCCGAGGUUCCUGGCUCCACCCCACGCCUAUGCCCCAGUUUCUCUGGUCACCCAGAAAGGAGGGGGCAGCCAGGAAAGGGAAGGAGAGAAAGUGUGCAGCGAGCUGGGAGGUGCUGGGCAAGCAGGUGUUGUCAUGAAGCUUCUCUCCCUCCCAAGCUGGGGCUAAGGAACCUGGCCACCUUCUCUCCUGGGGCCCUGUCGCCCCACAGACUGGCUCGAGCCUCACCCUUGCCCUCUCCUCUGGGCAACAGCAUGGAGGACAGGGCGGGGACCAGAGUGGGCCCAGGCUGGCCAGGGGCACAGUCUGUCAGUCCUUCAGUCCCACUAAGGGGAGCAGAAAUGAAAAUAAAGCCUCGCUCCUCAAGUCCCCUGUUGCCUGAAGAGAAGCCAGCCCCCGGUAGUGGCCUCCGCAGGGAAGCGGGCAGCCCAUCAGCGGCUCUGCCUGUACUCCCGAGACUGCAGGAGAGGCAAAUCAGGUCAAACGCUGGCCCUCGGCCCGGCCCAGAGGGAAGUUCCUGCACUGAGAGAAAUGGAGGGAAACUGCCCCUCACCCAGGCCUGCCGUUCUGCGCCCUAAGGAGAGAGAACCCCACAGCCUCAUACUCUUCCUGGGGCGCCCUGUGAGGUAUCUACCCGGGAUGUGGACAUCCAGCUACAAUUCGUGGUUUCAUUUGACUUCCAUGGAGUCCAAGCAUGUGGUUUCCAGGUUUCUGCCAGGCGCCGGACAC
Long non-coding RNA from Aethalodelphis obliquidens (Pacific white-sided dolphin), 1001 nucleotides. RefSeq lists it as uncharacterized. The record is from RefSeq and is a predicted model, not a curated record. NCBI's taxonomy places the organism in Eukaryota, Metazoa, Chordata, Mammalia, Artiodactyla, Delphinidae. The transcript has 3 exons.